Molecule: non-coding RNA, 133 nt
Organism: Xylariaceae sp. FL0255
Lineage: Eukaryota; Fungi; Ascomycota; Sordariomycetes; Xylariales; Xylariaceae
Source: the annotation of a GenBank genome assembly
GGCACUUUGGCGGAGUGGUUAAGUACUUCUCCCCCUUCUCAACUUAUAAAAACUAGUACUAACCUCUUCUACAGCGCGCGGGCCUGCUAAGCCCGUUCCUUCGGGAGCGAGAGUUCGAAUCUCUCAGGUGUCG